UAGACGACUCUCGGCAACGGAUAUCUUGGCUCACGCAUCGAUGAAGAACGUAGCAAAAUGCGAUACUUGGUGUGAAUUGCAGAAUCCCGUGAACCAUCGAGUUUUUGAACGCAAGUUGCGCCCGAAGCCAUCCGGUUGAGGGCACGUCUGCCUGGGCGUCACGC
Molecule: ribosomal RNA, 164 nt
Filed under: Pectis glaucescens
Lineage: Eukaryota; Viridiplantae; Streptophyta; Magnoliopsida; Asterales; Asteraceae
Description: 5.8S ribosomal RNA
Rfam family: 5.8S ribosomal RNA
About the family: 5.8S ribosomal RNA (5.8S rRNA) is a component of the large subunit of the eukaryotic ribosome. It is transcribed by RNA polymerase I as part of the 45S precursor that also contains 18S and 28S rRNA.
Source: RNAcentral